RNAcentral lists this ribosomal RNA (301 nucleotides) under uncultured bacterium. RNAcentral describes it as "partial 16S ribosomal RNA". It matches the Rfam family "Bacterial small subunit ribosomal RNA", at positions 509 to 807 of the family's 1533-position model. The record is from RNAcentral.
CAGUCGCCACGGUAAUACGUAGGGCGCAAGCGUUAAUCGGAAUUACUGGGCGUAAAGCGUGCGCAGGCGGUUUUGUAAGACAGAGGUGAAAUCCCCGGGCUCAACCUGGGAACUGCCUUUGUGACUGCAAGGCUAGAGUACGGCAGAGGGGGAUGGAAUUCCGCGUGUAGCAGUGAAAUGCGUAGACAUGCGGAGGAACACCGAUGGCGAAGGCAAUCCCCUGGGCCUGUACUGACGCUCAUGCACGAAAGCGUGGGGAGCAAACAGGAUUAGAUACCCCCGUAGUCCCUGUCUCUUAUAC